This is a long non-coding RNA of Sebastes umbrosus (honeycomb rockfish), 603 nucleotides long. RefSeq lists it as uncharacterized. The record is from RefSeq and is a predicted model, not a curated record. NCBI's taxonomy places the organism in Eukaryota, Metazoa, Chordata, Actinopteri, Perciformes, Sebastidae. The transcript has 3 exons.
UAUAUAGUACAAGUAUAAUGUUAAUGGUUCUGUUUCAUCAUUAGAGGUUCAAGAUACCUAUCUUUCAUAUUUUCAUAUUAUUUUUUAUCACUGAUUAACCAACAAGAAAAGAUUAUAAUCUUUUUAAGUUGUAUUUCUAUUUGAACCUUUUCCCAAGACAGUGUUUUGGUUGGUUAGUGCCUUGCUGUUGGCGACGCCCACAGAAACCCACUUGUGUUGUGAUUAGUUCCUUGCUUUUAGACACGCCCACAGAAACCUGCGUGCCUGCACAUAUAAUUCUGUUACCCUCAGGAUCAAAUCACUCUUGUUUUUUUAACAAGCGGGUAAAUCUGCUGGUAAUAGUAGAACACAUUGGAUCGAGCUUUCAGGACACCUCUGACAAAUCUACAGAUUUUAUUUCCAAGCAGCUCCUUUUGGUUUAAGGCACAAGUUGGUGAUGCCUCCUGACUCUCCAGACAAGAAGUUUGUCCUGCUUGUUGGAUGCUCCCAUUUACGAGCCAUUGCAGAUGGUUACGUGAAGAUGCCAGAGGGGCUUUCCUUUGGUGUCCUUUCAACGCCGGGGGCCUGUGCAGCGGAGUUGCGGAAGGAGGUGAUCAAUGCUGU